GGCGGCGUGCCUAACACAUGCAAGUCGAACGAGAAAGUGGAGCAAUCCAUGAGUAAAGUGGCGACCGGGUGAGUAACACGUGACUACCUACCCUUGAGUGGGGGAUAACCUCGGGAAACCGAGGCUAAUACCGCAUAAUAUCGAAAGAUCAAAGGAGUAAUCCGCUUUUGGAGGGGGUCGCGGCUGAUUAGCUAGUUGGUAGGGUAAUGGCCUACCAAGGCGAAGAUCGGUAUCCGGCCUGAGAGGGCGCACGGACACACUGGAACUGAAACACGGUCCAGACUCCUACGGGAGGCAGCAGUGGGGAAUUUUGCGCAAUGGGGGAAACCCUGACGCAGCAACGCCGCGUGGAGGAUGAAGCCCCUUGGGGUGUAAACUCCUUUCGACCGGGAAAAUUAUGAUGGUACCGGUGGAAGAAGCACCGGCUAACUCUGUGCCAGCAGCCGCGGUAAUACAGAGGGUGCGAGCGUUGUUCGGAAUUAUUGGGCGUAAAGGGCGCGUAGGCGGUAUUGUAAGUCACCUGUGAAACCUCUAGGCUUAACCUA
Molecule: ribosomal RNA, 545 nt
Filed under: uncultured Acidobacteriota bacterium
Lineage: Bacteria; Pseudomonadati; Acidobacteriota
Description: bacterial SSU rRNA
Rfam family: Bacterial small subunit ribosomal RNA
Source: RNAcentral